ACUCCUGUAGCUCAGCGGUAGAGCAUCGUACUUAUAAUGCGGUAGUCGCGGGUUCGAAUCCCGUUAGGAGUA
Molecule: transfer RNA, 72 nt
Filed under: Pithovirus LCPAC001
Lineage: Varidnaviria; Bamfordvirae; Nucleocytoviricota; Megaviricetes; Pimascovirales; Pithoviridae
Description: tRNA-Ile
Rfam family: tRNA
About the family: Transfer RNA (tRNA) molecules are approximately 80 nucleotides in length. Their secondary structure includes four short double-helical elements and three loops (D, anti-codon, and T loops).
Source: RNAcentral